GUGGUGACAUUAUAGACAGGUGUGUGGUGUGUGGUGACAUUAUAGACAGGUGUGUGGUGUGUGAUGACAUUAUAGACAGGUGUGUGGUGUGUGAUGACAUAGACAGGUAUAUGAUGUGUGGUGACAUUAUAGACAGGUGUAUGAUGUGUGGUGACAUUAUAGACAGGUGUGUGGUGAUAUUAUAGACAGGUAUAUGAUGUGUGGUGACAUAGACAGGUAUGUGAUGUGUGGUGACAUAGACAGGUGUAUGAUGUGUGGUGACAUUAUAGACAGGUGGGUGAUGUGUGGUGACAUAGACAGGUGUGUGGUGACAUUAUAGACAGGUGUGUGAUGUGUGGUGACAUAGACAGGUGUGUGGUGUGUGGUGACAUUAUAGACAGGUAUAUGAUGUGUGGUGACAUUAUAGACAGGUGUAUGAUGUGUGGUGACAUUAUAGACAGGUGUGUGGUGAUAUUAUAGACAGGUAUAUGAUGUGUGGUGACAUAGACAGGUAUAUGAUGUGUGAUGACAUAGAAGUGUACCAUGUGAGAUGACAUUUUGGAACGGGUAAUAUAUGUAAUGACAAUAUCUAGGUGUGUGAUGACAUUAUGAGACAGACCUAUGUCAUUAAGUGUGGUUUUUCAUGUCGACAAGUAUGUGUUUAUUUAGACAAUGAUUUACAGGUGCUUAAAGCGAUAUGUGUAAGAACAAAAAUGUAGUAGCCAUUUCAUAAAUUUUAAUUUGGGUUGCAACAAUCUUUUUCAUUGGUAGAUCUCCAGUUUUGACAACAUGACACUAAGGCGAUUUUUGCUGCAAUCUUCUAUCUUACAUAAACAUUGUUGAUAUUAACAUGUUGUUUUUGUCAUGUAAAGGAACAGCAUUCUUGGAAUUGAGAUUGAAAUAUGGGUUUCUUUUAAGCGAAAGUGCAGAAAUUUGAAUCGGCCUGUGUUGGUCAACAUCAAAAUCAUUGCACAAGGAGAACAAAAUACUCCUACUAUUUCAAUUGUGACACAUUUUUCUAUAAUUUUUUUCCUUUAUUUGUUUCAAAUAUAAAAAUAUAAAGAUCAAAUAAGAACAUGAAUUUAUCUUUUGAUGUAUAUAGGCCAUAAACCAAAGUGCACUCUUUACACAAACUGCUUUGAAGUUUAUCCAGAGUGGACUUCAGUUUUUGGUUUAUACAUUUAGUCCAGUCAAUUUCCUCAAAAUAUAGCCCAAAGUGGGACGUCAUAAUUUGCAACAGAAUUUAUAAUCAUAAAAUAAAUUUGAAGUUCAUAUUCACAAAACUCCAUAAUUUUAUUAAAGAUUUUAUUUGAAAUUAUGUAUUAUAUUUAAUGAGAUUUUCAGCUCAAACUUUUCAUAUUAUUCAUGCAAACACAUGUUGCGUAAUUUUAAUGGGAAAUUAUUCAAUAUUGACUUCAAUCAGCCCAACUGCAGGCCAAAUUGAAAGCCUAGUAAAUUUCAUUGCAUGAAAGCAAAACCUUUAAGAAAUUAAAUACAUGCCAUAUUUUUAAGCAAGUAUUGUUAUUAAUUAUCAUUAUGAUUUUUCUGUCUUAAAGAUGCAGUAAAAGCCAAUAGCACUUGAAGGCUUUUAGCAAUAUUCAUAGGACAUGCAGUAUUUCUGUGAUUUUUUUCUUUUUCUUUUUUCCUCUAAUCUGUAUUAUACAUGGACUGAUCUUGCAAUAUAACCAUUCACCCCAUGUCAAGUAUUAUCCAAGAAUUAAAAAUUACAUAUUAAAGUUGGUCCAGUAAGUAAUUAUGAUUAUUUUAUUUAUCCCAAUAUAGAUUCUAUGUAGGGCAGCAAAAAAGCAUUUUCCCAAUGAUCGAUUUUGGUUGACGAUUAUUCUGUUACAACAUACACACUGAUAAUUACAAAAACAAAAAACAAAACAAAAAGCACAAAAAAUAAAUUUUGUUUCAUUUAUGUUCCAGUUGAACCCAAAAUUGAUUAGAUCAUUAGAAAUAUCUGAAAGUAUGUACUGUACUGUAACUGUAAAGUACUGUUAUGUACUUAAGUAUAAAUUAUAAAUAAAAAGAAGUUGAAUCAUACAGUUCUUCUGAAAAGGAAAAAAGAGAAACAUUUUGCCACUAAAUUAUCCGAAAAUA
This is a long non-coding RNA of Pecten maximus, 2082 nucleotides long. RefSeq lists it as uncharacterized. NCBI's taxonomy places the organism in Eukaryota, Metazoa, Mollusca, Bivalvia, Pectinida, Pectinidae. The record is from RefSeq and is a predicted model, not a curated record. The transcript is spliced from 2 exons.